UGGUGUCUGUGCGGGCGUUUCGGUCUCAGCAUUCGGUUGAAAUUGAUCGUGGAAUCUAGUUUAUCAUACUGGUGGCGGAAAUCGCGUUGAGGCUGUUGCAUUCCAGCGCGGGAACAAGUCUGGCGUGCUAGAGCUUCGUCGAAACGUAUGCGGAAGUGGUAGAUCAGUUCCGGAAGCCAGCCCCACCCGAGUUCAAGAUGUCUGAAACUAGAAACCUCAUGACGACGUUCAUAAUUCUGAUCUUCCUGCUAUUCCUGCUGUACGUCGUAAUCGAAAUAUUUUACUAGGAGGAUACAUUCAGUGCAGCGUAGCUCUAGUUAGAUGAGGAUGAGUGAGUGGGGAUGAAGUGUAGUUUAUAUCAUGAGUGAUAAGGAUGAGCGAGUGAACGGAGGAUCGAUCGGUGGACCGAAUGUGGAUAAGCCGAGUGUACCACCUACAUUUAGCCAGUUUUAAGAUGCACGUAGAUAGUAGGAUUCCAGCUUGAGCUUCGUACCGCCCAUAUGCACCUGCACACUGCGCGCACAAACUCUGCACACCCAGAUUGCACACCCGAGUUGAGACAAUGUUGCACCACCACCGCCAGCCACAACGGACAACGGACGUCAUCAGAAUGAGAUCACCAGACCGACUUCGAUUGCGAUGCUGCUUGUCGAUCGUACCGAGUUCAUCUAGGCCACCUGCUGAUGUUGCAGUAUUUGAACCUGCUGAUUCACACGUUGUAAUCCGACGGUUCCAUUUGCGCUGUUUACAGUUGCAAGGCUUAGGUUCCUUGCUGCAGUCAGCGUCAGUGUCAAUCAACUUUGGGUACUUACCGUUGUUGACGAGCACACCGCAACCGCCACCAUGAACAACAGGCGUAACAGUAUGAAAAAGGACGAUAAGCAUGCAAAGGAAAAGGUGGAUCGCAAGAUAAUCCGCCAUCCGACGGCGCCGUUUUCGAUGAAAUCCAUCAUUAUGAACCUGAUCAUUGCGUUCUUCCUGUAUUUGCUGCGGCGAGUCAUAGAGGCUGGCGGGAAAAGUGCGAUCACCAAGUACAGCCGGUUUAUCAAAUGAAGCGAUAGGGGAGAGGAGGGUGCCAGUGGCAGGUGUUGGGUUAAUUGAUAUUUUCUUCUUCGCUAAUGUUUUCCCCGCUACUAUUGACAAAUAUAAUCUUAAUGUGAUAAGGUUCCGGAA
Long non-coding RNA from Aedes albopictus (Asian tiger mosquito), 1173 nucleotides. RefSeq lists it as uncharacterized. The transcript is spliced from 6 exons. Lineage: Eukaryota; Metazoa; Arthropoda; Insecta; Diptera; Culicidae. The record is from RefSeq and is a predicted model, not a curated record.